GGAAGGCCAGCCCUGCUCACACAGGGACCAGCGCCUGUGCCCGGCGGGGGUGGGGCGGCUUCCCCUCAGCCCACUCCUCCAUCUUCAGCUCCUGCUAGGCACCGGGGAAAGUACCAGGCGCUGGCCUGUAACCUCCUUCCGGCUCUGUCCCCAUCAGCAGCUCCCCCAGAAGUGAUGGCCCCUGAGUGUGUGUUGGGAAGGGACCUGCCCCAGGGCCACACUCCAGCGGGAAGGGCGGGAGUGCAGUGAGCGAGUACAACCUGGGGCUCCUGGAGCACCUGAGCCCCACCGAGAAGGCUCCUGCGCCCCCGCCUCAGCCCGCGCUGACCCCUUUCCUCGUCCUCAGCAUCAAGCGUCUGCUGAUGUCCCAGGCUGACAAGAUGACGGCGGAAGAGGUGGACCAGAUGUUCCAGUUCGCCUCCAUCGAUGCGGCGGGCAACCUGGACUACAAGGCGCUCAGCUACGUGAUCACCCACGGGGAGGAGAAGGAGGAGUGAGGCCCGGCCGGGUCAAUAAACCUGGACGCUUGGA
RNAcentral lists this small RNA (531 nucleotides) under Pan troglodytes (chimpanzee). Its description in RNAcentral is "retained intron". The record is from RNAcentral. Lineage: Eukaryota; Metazoa; Chordata; Mammalia; Primates; Hominidae.